Long non-coding RNA from Glycine soja, 1761 nucleotides. RefSeq lists it as uncharacterized. The record is from RefSeq and is a predicted model, not a curated record. NCBI's taxonomy places the organism in Eukaryota, Viridiplantae, Streptophyta, Magnoliopsida, Fabales, Fabaceae. The transcript has 9 exons.
AGGGAAUCGAGUCUUGAAAAAGAGAAUGGACGGUGUUGAUGCGUUAUUAGGUGAAAAAGCCGAAUUUUAAAAAACGCAAGUCCACAUAACGCGUUACUUCCGUUCACUUUUGAACCCAAAGAGCGGGUAGCUGAGAUCGGAGAACCCUCUCUUUCUUCUCCUUCUUCAGUUUGAUUCUUGGUGAUUGGAGAUUGGUGAAAAAAUAGCUUACAAGCAAUCUAAAUUCGCAUUUUAGGAAGUUGAAUAUCAUUCAGAAUGAUGGUCAAUUACAAGCAAAAGAGCAAUCAAUUGAAAGCUCUACUGAAGUGAACCAAAAUAACAACUCUAUACUUGAAGAAAAUGCACAAUUUGAAGGAGGUUGAUCCAGAUAUCAGCCUUUCUCUUAAACAGAACCCUGCUUCUUAUACGCAAGUUUUGAAUGCUUCCUCUAGAGGGUUGCACAGAAUGAGAACUGUAUUCAGUUAUCUUCCCAUAUCCAUGGCAACUGAACCAGCUGCAGAUGACUCAAUACUUUCACUGCUAAGGGUUUUUUGGCCCAUCUUGGAGAAAUUUUUUGGCUCUGAGCAUAUGGAGAAUGGGAAUUUAUCCGUAGCAGCUUGCUGAGCUCUUUCACUAGCUGUUCGAUCUUCAGGUUUACCCACUUGGACACAUUUGUUGACAGUUCAUCGGUUCCCCUUGUGAUAAAUAUAGUUUUUUAAUGUGCAGGUCAGCAUUUUGUGACAUUACUGCCCAAGGUGCUGGACUGGCUUUCAAAAAAUUUUGUUUUAUUCCAAAGUCAUGAAUGCUAUAUAAGAAUCGCUUCCAUUGUCAUUGAAGAAUUUGGUCAUCUAGAGGAGUACGGACCUUUAUUUGUCACUUCUGACGACAUUCCAGACAUUGAUAAGAAAAAAAUGGUAUGUUGAUUGGAGCAACUACAUCAAUCGGAUUAAUCAUGUAAGCCUCUCUUAAACUUUUUCAUUUUCUUGUAAACGGGUCUAAUUAAUACUUGUCUUUGCUAUGUUUCUCUCAAUAUGAUUCUUAUUUUGUACAGCUUUUUUUUAUUGGUUUCAAUGUAUAAUUUUUGGUCUUCUCUUUUUCUCAAAAAUUAGAAAAAUAGUACUGUUUUCAAAUUGUAAAGAAUGGAUAGGGUGAAUGAAACAGAGAGUGAAAGUUACAACAACAUAUAGAAGCAAAGGUGCAGACCAUUUUUUGCUUUCGUGUCAUGAUUGGUGUAGAGGCUUUGAUGGAAUUAUUAAAGUCUGGGAUGUAUCUAGCAAAAAUUGGACUGGAUAACCUAGAAGAAGCUUUACUACUUCAGGCUGAUAUGAUGGAUCUUAAAGCACGAAUUCAUGGGCCUGCUCAAGCAUAUGUGAUGGAAGCGAGACUUGACGAAGGACGGGGUCCAUUAGUAACUACUAUAGUGAAGGCAGGGACUCUUUUCAAUUUGUUGUUUUAAAAUUUUGGUUUAAAAUAGUGGAAGUGGUCCAAGGUGAUGCUAGGAACGUGUUGUGCAUUUGUAUUGGUUUUGGGAAGCCAAGGCUACAGAGUUAUCAAAAGUAUUUUAAUGAAGUUAAACCAUUGGAAGCAGAGAGAUUCAAGGCGUUUCGCAUCCAGUGGACACAGUAUUAUCUAAAAGUUAGAAAUCAAACAUAGGAUGUUAGACAACUAUGUAACUUUAGGUUACUUAAUUAGUUUACAUACUUUGCAUUACAUUUUUUACAAUUGUUGUUUCAUUUUAACAUUUAAUAACCUUUGUUGAUAACUAGUUUUCUGGUAAAACCU